Molecule: ribosomal RNA, 497 nt
Filed under: uncultured bacterium
Lineage: Bacteria
Description: partial 16S ribosomal RNA
Rfam family: Bacterial small subunit ribosomal RNA
Source: RNAcentral
GAUGAACGCUGGCGGCGUGCCUAAUACAUGCAAGUCGAGCGAACGGACGAGAAGCUUGCUUCUCUGAUGUUAGCGGCGGACGGGUGAGUAACACGUGGAUAACCUACCUAUAAGACUGGGAUAACUUCGGGAAACCGGAGCUAAUACCGGAUAAUAUUUUGAACCGCAUGGUUCAAAAGUAAAAGACGGUCUUGCUGUCACUUAUAGAUGGAUCCGCGCUGCAUUAGCUAGUUGGUAAGGUAACGGCUUACCAAGGCAACGAUGCAUAGCCGACCUGAGAGGGUGAGCGGCCACACUGGAACUGAGACACGGUCCAGACUCCUACGGGAGGCAGCAGUAGGGAAUCUUCCGCAAAGGGCGAAAGCCUGACGGAGCAACGCCGCGUGAGUGAUGAAGGUCUUCGGAUCGUAAAACUCUGUUAUUAGGGAAGAACAUAUGUGUAAGUAACUGUGCACAUCUUGACGGUACCUAAUCAGAAAGCCACGGCUAACUACGUG